GACGAACGCUGGCGGCGUGCUUAACACAUGCAAGUCGAACGGAAAGGCCCUGCUUGCAGGGUACUCGAGUGGCGAACGGGUGAGUAACACGUGGGUGAUCUGCCCUGCACUUCGGGAUAAGCCUGGGAAACUGGGUCUAAUACCGGAUAGGAGCCAUUUUUAGUGUGAUGGUUGGAAAGUUUUUUCGGUGUAGGAUGAGCUCGCGGCCUAUCAGCUUGUUGGUGGGGUAAUGGCCUACCAAGGCGGCGACGGGUAGCCGGCCUGAGAGGGUGGACGGCCACAUUGGGACGGAGAUACGGCCCAGACUCCUACGGGAGGCAGCAGUGGGGAAUAUUGCACAAGGGGCGCAAGCCUGAUGCAGCGACGCCGCGUGGGGGAUGACGGCCUUAGGGUUGUAAACUCCUUUCGCUAGGGACGAAGCUCUUUGUGACGGUACCUAGAUAAGAAGCACCGGCUAACUACGUG
This 465-nucleotide ribosomal RNA is filed under the name uncultured bacterium. Its description in RNAcentral is "partial 16S ribosomal RNA". It matches the Rfam family "Bacterial small subunit ribosomal RNA", at positions 28 to 507 of the family's 1533-position model. The record is from RNAcentral.